AACGAACGCUGGCGGCAUGCCUAACACAUGCAAGUCGAACGAGACCUUCGGGUCUAGUGGCGCACGGGUGCGUAACGCGUGGGAAUCUGCCCUGGGGUGCGGAAUAACUCGGAGAAAUCCGUGCUAAUACCGCAUAAUGUCUUCGGACCAAAGAUUUAUCGCCCUGGGAUGAGCCCGCGUAGGAUUAGCUAGUUGGUGGGGUAAAGGCCUACCAAGGCGACGAUCCUUAGCUGGUCUGAGAGGAUGAUCAGCCACACUGGCACUGGAACACGGGCCAGACUCCUACGGGAGGCAGCAGUGAGGAAUUUUGCGCAAUGGCCGCAAGGCUGACGCAGCAACGCCGCGUGGGUGAAGAAGGCCUUCGGGUCGUAAAGCCCUGUCAGGUGGGAGAAAGGUUCGUCAAGAAACGGAUGGAAUUUGACGGUACCACCAGAGGAAGCACCGGCUAACUCCGUG
This 456-nucleotide ribosomal RNA is filed under the name uncultured bacterium. RNAcentral's name for it is "bacterial SSU rRNA". It matches the Rfam family "Bacterial small subunit ribosomal RNA", at positions 29 to 507 of the family's 1533-position model. The record is from RNAcentral.